ACUUUCUUAGUAUAUUUAGUACAACUGACUUCCAAUCAGUAAGAUCUAGCCAUAAACCUAGAAGGUAGUA
This 70-nucleotide transfer RNA is filed under the name Peromyscus mekisturus (Puebla deer mouse). Its description in RNAcentral is "tRNA-Gly". Lineage: Eukaryota; Metazoa; Chordata; Mammalia; Rodentia; Cricetidae. The record is from RNAcentral.